AUUGAACGCUGGCGGCAUGCUUUACACAUGCAAGUCGAACGGCAGCGCGGGCUUCGGCCUGGCGGCGAGUGGCGAACGGGUGAGUAAUGCAUCGGAACGUGCCCAGUAGUGGGGGGUAGCCCGGCGAAAGCCGGAUUAAUACCGCAUACGACCUGAGGGUGAAAGCGGGGGACCGAAAGGCCUCGCGCUAUUGGAGCGGCCGAUGUCGGAUUAGCUAGUUGGUGGGGUAAAGGCUUACCAAGGCGACGAUCCGUAGCUGGUCUGAGAGGACGACCAGCCACACUGGAACUGAGACACGGCCCAGACUCCUACGGGAGGCAGCAGUGGGGAAUUUUGGACAAUGGGGGCAACCCUGAUCCAGCCAUGCCGCGUGCGGGAAGAAGGCCUUCGGGUUGUAAACCGCUUUUGUUCGGGAAGAAAUCCUCUGGGCUAAUACCCCGGGGGGAUGACGGUACCGGAAGAAUAAGCACCGGCUAACUACGUG
RNAcentral lists this ribosomal RNA (484 nucleotides) under uncultured bacterium. RNAcentral's name for it is "partial 16S ribosomal RNA". It matches the Rfam family "Bacterial small subunit ribosomal RNA", at positions 28 to 507 of the family's 1533-position model. The record is from RNAcentral.